This 614-nucleotide ribosomal RNA is filed under the name uncultured Sebacina. RNAcentral describes it as "eukaryotic LSU rRNA". The stretch from base 214 to 367 matches the Rfam family "5.8S ribosomal RNA". The record is from RNAcentral. Lineage: Eukaryota; Fungi; Basidiomycota; Agaricomycetes; Sebacinales; Sebacinaceae.
AAGUCGUAACAAGGUUUCCGUAGGUGAACCUGCGGAAGGAUCAUUAUUGAUUGUGAAUCGUUGCCUCCAGUGCUGGCUCUCGCAAGUGCACGGUUGGUGACUUUCAUCCAACACCCUGUGAACCUUUGGCCUCUUGCUAGCUUCGGCUGGCAGGGGAUUUUUACACACACUCGAAUGUAAUGAAAUUAUCGUCGUGCGCAAGCACUUAUGUACAACUUUCAACAACGGAUCUCUUGGCUCUCGCAUCGAUGAAGAACGCAGCGAAAUGCGAUAAGUAAUGUGAAUUGCAGAAUUCAGUGAAUCAUCGAAUCUUUGAACGCACCUUGCACCCUUUGGCAUUCCGAAGGGUAUGCUCGUUUGAGUGUCAUUGUACUCUCACACUUCUGAUCCUUUGGAUUUGGAGCGGUGGACUUGGGUGUUGCCACUUGACGGUGGCUCACCUCUAAUGCAUUAGUGCAACUCCUGGUUGGACCAUAGUACGGCGUGAUAAGUGUCUUCGCCGGCACCUCGUGAGAGGGUGGCCGAUCGAGAGCUCUGUGCUUUCAAACCGUCCUUGCAAGGACAAUGACUGACAACUUGACCUCAAAUCGAGUAGGACUACCCGCUGAACUUAA